GUGCCAGCAGCCGCGGUAAUUCCAGCUCCAAUAGCGUAUAUUAAAGUUGUUGUGGUUAAAAAGCUCGUAGUUGAACCUUGGGCCUGGCUGGCCGGUCCGCCUCACCGCGUGCACUGGUCCGGCCGGGCCUUUCCCUCUGUGGAACCCCAUACCCUUCACUGGGCGUGGCGGGGAAACAGGACAUUUACUUUGAAAAAAUUAGAGUGCUCCAGGCAGGCCUAUGCUCGAAUACAUUAGCAUGGAAUAAUAAAAUAGGACGCGCGGUUCUAUUUUGUUGGUUUAUAGGACCGCCGUAAUGAUUAAUAGGGACAGUCGGGGGCAUCAGUAUUCAACUGUCAGAGGUGAAAUUCUUGGAUCAGUUGAAGACUAACUACUGCGAAAGCAUUUGCCAAGGAUGUUUUCAUUAAUCAGGAACGAAAGUUAGGGGAUCGAAGACGAUCAGAUACCGUCGUAGUCUUAACCAUAAACUAUGCCGACUAGGGAUCGGACGGUGUUAUUCAUGACCCGUUCGGCACCUUACGAGAAAUCAAAGUGCUUGGGCUCCAGGGGGAGUAUGGUCGCAAGGCUGAAACUUAAAGAAAUUG
This 584-nucleotide ribosomal RNA is filed under the name uncultured fungus. RNAcentral's name for it is "SSU rRNA". It matches the Rfam family "Eukaryotic small subunit ribosomal RNA", at positions 564 to 1155 of the family's 1831-position model. The record is from RNAcentral. Lineage: Eukaryota; Fungi.